AUGUUUUCCAGCCUCAAGUUGGCCUUUAUGCAGCCCUGCAAUUCUCCCUUCACUUCUUACGGACUCAUACUGUAUUGAUCUAGUGGAAGAUAUUAUCAAUCUGUGGCCCCUGUCCACUGCCUUAAGGAAGAUAUUGCAAGGAUCUUUAUGAACCUUCCCAGCAGACGGCCCCGUGCGUGCUAUGGCAACGCAAGAAAGCGUGCACUGUUGGCAAAGUUCCUGUAAGAAGUCAAGAUGAUUCUAGAAGUUAGGCUCAGUUGCUGUUUACUACUUCUUCUCUGUCAUCAUCCCCAGUGGUGUUAGUGUCGUGAUGGAAGGUCACCCCUGACCUGUCAUUUCUGCUACAGCUGAAAGCAAUAAAAGGCAAUGCUGCAUAGUACUCAGAAGAACCAUGUUCUCCUUUGUAAAUGAGUGUGAAGGAAGCAAAGAAAGAAGAAAAAAGAACUGAGUGGGAAGAAUCUGGAAAAUUAACAGCAAGAGUCAGUGAACACGAUUCUAUUUUUUCCUUAUAAAGAAUACUUUAAAUUACAUAAUUACAGAUUCCAGGGAAAUAGGUAUUUAAAUCCAUCAGUGACAUGUGUUUGACUUCCUCAUUUGCAGAGAAAAUCAGAAGCUUAUUUUGGUUUUUGUUCUCACUCUUCUCUUUUCCCCGCCCACCUAAAUCGGAUUGAGAUAUUUGACAAAGUAAGACCCUAGUACAAUGGAAAUUAGACUCUAGCGAAAGGAGAGGCUGCGUGAAGCUCUUUACACACUACAAAAUCCAAUGUUCCCACUUUUUCCUACAGACAUUAGAAAGGCACAGAAAUAUAAUCAGAUCCAACUCCCAGUUUCUAUUUUGAGCAGGGGUUUUAAAUGCCAUCGGCUUAGAUUAAUGUGCUAUGAAUUAGUCACCUUGCAUAAAUAUGUUUCAUUUAAAGGAAACCCAAAUGAAUGUGUUUCCUUAAAUGAUAACAUGCUAAGGGCAUGGCAGAACCCUUUUAGAUAAAGAAAACAAAACAAGACUUUCCUUGCCUGUAUUUUAUAAAUUUCCAAACAGCGUGAAGCUUAAAGCCCAAAAGAGAUACCCAUGAAAAUCUACCGAUCGGCUUCUAGAACUGCCACCUUUAAUGUUGCAUAAAUGAUAAAUGUUUCAUCUUAAUGUUCAGAGAGGUAUUCAC
Long non-coding RNA from Panthera uncia (snow leopard), 1157 nucleotides. RefSeq lists it as uncharacterized. The transcript has 3 exons. Lineage: Eukaryota; Metazoa; Chordata; Mammalia; Carnivora; Felidae. The record is from RefSeq and is a predicted model, not a curated record.